GUUUAUGAUGAUUUACCACAUUUCACGACGGUCAACUGCGUCUUCUCCCCGUUAGGAGGAGGCUUUGAUGAUAUUCCGGCCCUGACAGGCCGUGGUCCUGAAC
Molecule: small nucleolar RNA, 103 nt
Filed under: Petasospora fabianii
Lineage: Eukaryota; Fungi; Ascomycota; Saccharomycetes; Phaffomycetales; Wickerhamomycetaceae
Description: Cyberlindnera fabianii Small nucleolar RNA snR73
Rfam family: Small nucleolar RNA snR73
Source: Rfam by way of RNAcentral